RNAcentral lists this long non-coding RNA (475 nucleotides) under Setaria viridis. Its description in RNAcentral is "long non-coding RNA (SVIR_LNC002818)". The record is from RNAcentral. Lineage: Eukaryota; Viridiplantae; Streptophyta; Magnoliopsida; Poales; Poaceae.
UAGACAGCAAGGGAGGAGAAAGAAUCGUGGGAAAUCCAUUUUGUGUUUGUACGGGGACAAACUUGCAAGGGGAGGAGGGAUAAUGAAUGCAUAGCCGUAUAGCUAUUUUCUAUCUAUACGGGAGGAGAAAGAGAUGUGUGCGAAAGAAAAUAGUGACACGUGUAAAGUGAGAGAAGAAGAGAAAGAGGUUGCAAUCCACGGUCUAGGUUGCCAAACGAUCAGCUUUGUAUAAUCCAAAGCUAAAACAAACAAUACCUAGCCUGAUUAUUUACAACCUACCGACAAUGGUCCACAACACAUAGAGGCAAGCUAAUUUUUUCGUUUAUUCCCCUUUUUAUUUCAGUCUAAUUAUAUUUAUUGGAUUAUAAUUUGUACAUUUAUACAUGCUUCACCAUUUUCUAUUUAAAACUUGAUUCAACGAUCCAUGAAAUCUAACUAAACGUCUAUUAUCUUAGUACAAUAGUGUUAAAAGAAU